GAUGAACGCUGGCGGCGUGCCUAAUACAUGCAAGUCGAGCGGACGGACGCGGCGUUUGCUUCGCUGAUGUUAGGGGCGGGCGGGUGAGUCACACGUGUAUACCUUACCUAUCAGUCUGAGAUCCGUUCGGGAACGCGGAUCUAACAUCGGAUGAUAUUUUGAACCGCGGGGUUCUUCAGAGAUCGCCGGCCUUGCUGUCACUAAUUGGUGGUUCCGGGCUGGUUUAGCUAGUUGGUACGGUCACGGCUUACCAAGGCUAGGAUGCGUAGACGAGCUGAGAGGCUGAUCGGCCACACUGGAACGGAGACACGGUCCAGACUCCUACGGGAGGCAGCAGUAGGGAAUCUUCGGCAAUGGGCGAAAGCCUGACACAGCAACGCCGCGUGUGUGAUGAAGGUCUUCGGAUCGUAAAGCACUCUUAUUUGGGAGGAACAGAUGUGAGCUUAGACGUGGAGAUCUUGACGGUACCAAAUCAAAAAGCACCGGCUAACUACGUG
This 497-nucleotide ribosomal RNA is filed under the name uncultured bacterium. RNAcentral describes it as "partial 16S ribosomal RNA". It matches the Rfam family "Bacterial small subunit ribosomal RNA", at positions 28 to 507 of the family's 1533-position model. The record is from RNAcentral.